GACGAACGCUGGCGGCGUGCCUAAUACACGCAAGUCGAACGAACUCUGGUAUUGAUUGGUGCUUGCAUCAUGAUUUACAUUUGAGUGAGUGGCGAACUGGUGAGUAACACGUGGGAAACCUGCCCAGAAGCGGGGGAUAACACCUGGAAACAGAUGCUAAUACCGCAUAACAACUUGGACCGCAUGGUCCGAGUUUGAAAGAUGGCUUCGGCUAUCACUUUUGGAUGGUCCCGCGGCGUAUUAGCUAGAUGGUGGGGUAACGGCUCACCAUGGCAAUGAUACGUAGCCGACCUGAGAGGGUAAUCGGCCACAUUGGGACUGAGACACGGCCCAAACUCCUACGGGAGGCAGCAGUAGGGAAUCUUCCACAAUGGACGAAAGUCUGAUGGAGCAACGCCGCGUGAGUGAAGAAGGGUUUCGGCUCGUAAAACUCUGUUGUUAAAGAAGAACAUAUCUGAGAGUAACUGUUCAGGUAUUGACGGUAUUUAACCAGAAAGCCACGGCUAACUACGUGCCAGCAGCCGCGGUAAUACGUAGGUGGCAAGCGUUGUCCGGAUUUAUUGGGCGUAAAGCGAGCGCAGGCGGUUUUUUAAGUCUGAUGUGAAAGCCUUCGGCUCAACCGAAGAAGUGCAUCGGAAACUGGGAAACUUGAGUGCAGAAGAGGACAGUGGAACUCCAUGUGUAGCGGUGAAAUGCGUAGAUAUAUGGAAGAACACCAGUGGCGAAGGCGGCUGUCUGGUCUGUAACUGACGCUGAGGCUCGAAAGUAUGGGUAGCAAACAGGAUUAGAUACCCUGGUAGUCCAUACCGUAAACGAUGAAUGCUAAGUGUUGGAGGGUUUCCGCCCUUCAGUGCUGCAGCUAACGCAUUAAGCAUUCCGCCUGGGGAGUACGGCCGCAAGGCUGAAACUCAAAGGAAUUGACGGGGGCCCGCACAAGCGGUGGAGCAUGUGGUUUAAUUCGAAGCUACGCGAAGAACCUUACCAGGUCUUGACAUACUAUGCAAAUCUAAGAGGUUAGACGUUCCCUUCGGGGACAUGGAUACAGGUGGUGCAUGGUUGUCGUCAGCUCGUGUCGUGAGAUGUUGGGUUAAGUCCCGCAACGAGCGCAACCCUUAUUAUCAGUUGCCAGCAUUAAGUUGGGCACUCUGGUGAGACUGCCGGUGACAAACCGGAGGAAGGUGGGGAUGACGUCAAAUCAUCAUGCCCCUUAUGACCUGGGCUACACACGUGCUACAAUGGAUGGUACAACGAGUUGCGAACUCGCGAGAGUAAGCUAAUCUCUUAAAGCCAUUCUCAGUUCGGAUUGUAGGCUGCAACUCGCCUACAUGAAGUCGGAAUCGCUAGUAAUCGCGGAUCAGCAUGCCGCGGUGAAUACGUUCCCGGGCCUUGUACACACCGCCCGUCACACCAUGAGAGUUUGUAACACCCAAAGUCGGUGGGGUAACCUUUUAGGAACCAGCCGCCUAAGGUGGGACAGAUGAUUAGGGUG
RNAcentral lists this ribosomal RNA (1489 nucleotides) under Lactiplantibacillus plantarum. RNAcentral describes it as "bacterial SSU rRNA". It matches the Rfam family "Bacterial small subunit ribosomal RNA". The record is from RNAcentral. Lineage: Bacteria; Bacillati; Bacillota; Bacilli; Lactobacillales; Lactobacillaceae.